RNAcentral lists this ribosomal RNA (305 nucleotides) under uncultured bacterium. RNAcentral's name for it is "bacterial SSU rRNA". It matches the Rfam family "Bacterial small subunit ribosomal RNA", at positions 337 to 659 of the family's 1533-position model. The record is from RNAcentral.
UCUUACGGGGGGCAGCAGUGGGGAAUAUUGCACAAUGGGGGAAACCCUGAUGCAGCGACGCCGCGUGAAGGAAGAAGUAUUUCGGUAUGUAAACUUCUAUCAGCAGGGAAGAAAAUGACGGUACCUGACUAAGAAGCCCCGGCUAACUACGUGCCAGCAGCCGCGGUAAUACGUAGGGGGCAAGCGUUAUCCGGAUUUACUGGGUGUAAAGGGAGCGUAGGCGGUGCAGCAAGUCUGAUGUGAAAGCCCGCGGCCCAACCGCGGGACUGCAUUGGGAACUACCGGGCUGGAGUGCCGGAGGGGUG